CCGCAUGUCCGCCCUGUUGGUGUCCGGGCAACCGGAUGAAAAGGGAAUGCGCCAGCGGUUCCGGGACAUGAUCCCGGGCAGCCGUCAAGCGCAGCCGCCCCCGCGACCGUGACCGGAGAGGGUGCCCAAGCCACUGGCCAAAUGGCCGGGAAGGCGGGACAUCCGCCAGAGCAGCGCUCUGACAUCCGCAAGCCGGGAGACCUGCCAGCACCCGAACUGCAAC
Ruegeria pomeroyi DSS-3 is the source of this 223-nucleotide regulatory RNA element. The record is from Rfam. NCBI's taxonomy places the organism in Bacteria, Pseudomonadati, Pseudomonadota, Alphaproteobacteria, Rhodobacterales, Roseobacteraceae.